This 474-nucleotide ribosomal RNA is filed under the name uncultured bacterium. RNAcentral describes it as "bacterial SSU rRNA". It matches the Rfam family "Bacterial small subunit ribosomal RNA", at positions 23 to 507 of the family's 1533-position model. The record is from RNAcentral.
CUCAGGAUGAACGCUGGCGGCGUGCUUAACACAUGCAAGUCGAACGAAGAUGCCGGAGUGCUUGCACUUUGGCAGACUGAGUGGCGGACGGGUGAGUAACGCGUGGGUAACCUGCCUUAUACAGGGGGAUAACAGUUGGAAACGACUGCUAAUACCGCAUAAGCGCACGGUAUCGCAUGAUACAGUGUGAAAAACUCCGGUGGUAUAAGAUGGACCCGCGUCUGAUUAGCUAGUUGGUGAGGUAACGGCCCACCAAGGCGACGAUCAGUAGCCGGCCUGAGAGGGUGAACGGCCACAUUGGGACUGAGACACGGCCCAAACUCCUACGGGAGGCAGCAGUGGGGAAUAUUGCACAAUGGGGGAAACCCUGAUGCAGCGACGCCGCGUGAGUGAUGAAGUAUUUCGGUAUGUAAAACUCUAUCAGCAGGGAAGAUAAUGACGGUACCUGACUAAGAAGCACCGGCUAAAUACGUG